RNAcentral lists this unclassified non-coding RNA (456 nucleotides) under uncultured Inocybe. RNAcentral's name for it is "sequence contains ITS2". The stretch from base 1 to 154 matches the Rfam family "5.8S ribosomal RNA". Lineage: Eukaryota; Fungi; Basidiomycota; Agaricomycetes; Agaricales; Cortinariaceae. The record is from RNAcentral.
AACUUUCGACAACGGAUCUCUUGGCCCUCGCAUCGAUGAAGAACGCAGCGAAAUGCGAUAAGUAAUGUGAAUUGCAGAAUUCAGUGAAUCAUCGAAUCUUUGAACGCAUCUUGCGCUCCUUGGUAUUCCGAGGAGCAUGCCUGUUUGAGUGUCAUUUAAAUUCUCAACCACGACUGAUUCUUUUCUGGUGUGGCUUGGAUGUGGGGGCUGUCUUCUUGGCGGCUCUUCUGAAAUGAACAAGUCUGCUUUCAUGAAGUGGAUUAGCGGUGUCUGAGAAGAGAACUUACUACAGGUGUGAUACUCUAUCUCUGCCUGUUAGUAUGCUGCAUCACCGGAUUGCACUGAUUCUAACAUGUGGAUAACCUCUUCGAGGUGAGGAUGCCUACACUUGAUGAGUUGCGCUCUGAAUCGGUGCGAGCUCCACGUGGAACUUAAGCAUAAGUAUCAGCGGAGGCU